Molecule: long non-coding RNA, 1122 nt
Organism: Helianthus annuus (common sunflower)
Lineage: Eukaryota; Viridiplantae; Streptophyta; Magnoliopsida; Asterales; Asteraceae
Exons: 3
Source: RefSeq, a predicted model, not a curated record
AUAAAAAACCUAACCCUAAUCUUUUUUUCUCUCAGCCGCUCUCAUUCACUCAUACCCUCACCCCACAAACUCAAAUUCAAUAUCCAGAUCUGUGAGCAUCGAAGAAUCAAGAUCUAAACAAGUUACAGAUAAUCAAAACACGAACACGUCAAGAACUGAAAAUCGAAGAUCCAAGAAUACGAUUUGUUUCAUACGAAGAUCCAAGUUUCUGAUUCAUACGAUUCAGUUCCAUGACGGGUUACAAAUAUGAACAAUUAAUAAUUAUUUUAGUUAAUAAUCUAAUUAAUGUUUCUUUUAAAUUAAUGAAUGUUUCAUGUAGUUUUAAAUCAUAAUGGAGAAUGUUUUCAUAGCAAUGGUAUCAACCUAAGACGUUACUUAGAAGUAUUAUUUAGGUUAAUUUUGUUAUUUGACUAGUUUACUUGGGUACUGUAUUUUCUGAAUAGUAUUGCUAUGUAUUUCAUUUUGUUUGCUAAUAAAUUUGUUUGCUAAUUAUUAAGUUAUAUAUACCAUAAAAGUUGUUGUGUAAAUAGAUUCUAACUUACAUUUGUGAGAGGGUGAUUGUGUGUGCAGAAUUGGAUGUUUAUAGUGGUGUCAAGUGUGGACUCCUGGGGACUAUUGUUCUGCUGCAGAUAUGGACAUAUGGUAGCUCUAUAUAUAGUUGUUUUUAUUGGUUUUAGUUAACCUAGGAUAAUUGUUUAAUUAGUAUGGUUUCACUUAUUUUGGUUGAAUUUGGGGUUAUCUCUAGUAAGUUAAUUGAGUCUAUUUAUUACAAUCAUAUUGUUCAUCUUCCUGUUUUUGAUCUCUUUAAAUACAACAACAUGCUUCUGAUGUGUCCUUUUUGCAUCAUUUGAAGAAGUGAAGAUGGAUCUGCUGCAGGUUUCAUAUGGUGCCUUGAAAAGUUGGAAGGAUGGAUUGGAAUCGGAUGCUUGGAUUUGGAAGUUUAUGUUUUUAUUUCAACUUUUAAAACAAUGUUUUGGGUUAUUUUGGACAUGUUAUGUGAUAUUUUGGAACAAGGGAUUGUGUUGGAUUGUUGGUUUGUUUUUUUGUUAACAUCAGGUUAUGUGUUAUUUUAGAACAAGGUAAUGUAUUAUUUUAGAACAAUGGAUUGUGUUAGUUUGUUUU